GACGAACGCUGGCGGCGUGCCUAAUACAUGCAAGUAGAACGCUGAAGGAGGAGCUUGCUUCUCUGGAUGAGUUGCGAACGGGUGAGUAACGCGUAGGUAGCCUGCCUGGUAGCGGGGGAUAACUAUUGGAAACGAUAGCUAAUACCGCAUAAGAGUAGAUGUUGCAUGACAUUUACUUAAAAGGUGCAAUUGCAUCACUACCAGAUGGACCUGCGUUGUAUUAGCUAGUUGGUGAGGUAACGGCUCACCAAGGCAACGAUACAUAGCCGACCUGAGAGGGUGAUCGGCCACACUGGGACUGAGACACGGCCCAGACUCCUACGGGAGGCAGCAGUAGGGAAUCUUCGGCAAUGGACGGAAGUCUGACCGAGCAACGCCGCGUGAGUGAAGAAGGUUUUCGGAUCGUAAAGCUCUGUUGUAAGAGAAGAACGAGUGUGAGAGUGGAAAGUUCACACUGUGACGGUAUCUUACCAGAAAGGGACGGCUAACUACGUG
Molecule: ribosomal RNA, 495 nt
Filed under: uncultured bacterium
Lineage: Bacteria
Description: partial 16S ribosomal RNA
Rfam family: Bacterial small subunit ribosomal RNA
Source: RNAcentral